RNAcentral lists this ribosomal RNA (497 nucleotides) under uncultured bacterium. RNAcentral describes it as "partial 16S ribosomal RNA". It matches the Rfam family "Bacterial small subunit ribosomal RNA", at positions 28 to 507 of the family's 1533-position model. The record is from RNAcentral.
GAUGAACGCUGGCGGCGUGCCUAAUACAUGCAAGUCGAGCGAACAGACGAGGAGCUUGCUACUCUGACGGUAACGGCGGACGGGUGAGUAACACGUGGAUAACCUACCUAUAAGACUGGGACAAGUUCGGGAAACCGGAGCCAAUACCGGAUAAUAUCUUCAACCGCAGGGUUCAAUAGUGAAAGACGGUUUUGCUGUACCCUCUACAUAGCUCCGCGCCGCAUUGGCAGGUUGGUAGGGUAACGGCUUCCGAAGGCAACGAUGGGUUGCCGACCUGAUAGGGGGUACGGCCCCACUGGAACUGAGACGCGGUCCAGGGUCCUACGGGAGGCAGCAGUAGGGACUGUUCGGCACUGGGCGGAAGCCUGAAGGAGCGGCGCCGCGUGGGUGAUGAAGGGCUUCGUAUCGUAAAACUCUGUUAUGGUGGAAGAACGAUUUUGUCAGGAGCUAUGCACGUCUUGACGGUACCUGCUGAGAAAGCACCGGCUAACUACGUG